AUACGGAGGAUCCAAGCGUUAUCCGGAAUCAUUGGGUUUAAAGGGUCCGUAGGUGGACGAUUAAGUCAGGGGUGAAAUCUUGCAGCUCAACUGUAAAAUUGCCCUUGAUACUGGUUGUCUUGAAUCAUUGUGAAGUGGUUAGAAUAUGUAGUGUAGCGGUGAAAUGCAUAGAUAUUACAUAGAAUACCGAUUGCGAAGGCAGAUCACUAACGGUGCAUUGACACUGAUGGACGAAAGCGUGGGGAGC
RNAcentral lists this ribosomal RNA (247 nucleotides) under uncultured bacterium. RNAcentral's name for it is "partial 16S ribosomal RNA". It matches the Rfam family "Bacterial small subunit ribosomal RNA", at positions 523 to 769 of the family's 1533-position model. The record is from RNAcentral.